RNAcentral lists this transfer RNA (84 nucleotides) under Maioricimonas rarisocia. RNAcentral describes it as "Planctomycetes bacterium Mal4 tRNA-Leu". It matches the Rfam family "tRNA". From Rfam's summary of the family: Transfer RNA (tRNA) molecules are approximately 80 nucleotides in length. Their secondary structure includes four short double-helical elements and three loops (D, anti-codon, and T loops). Further hydrogen bonds mediate the characteristic L-shaped molecular structure. tRNAs have two regions of fundamental functional importance: the anti-codon, which is responsible for specific mRNA codon recognition, and the 3' end, to which the tRNAs corresponding amino acid is attached (by aminoacyl-tRNA synthetases). tRNAs cope with the degeneracy of the genetic code in two manners: having more than one tRNA (with a specific anti-codon) for a particular amino acid; and 'wobble' base-pairing, i.e. permitting non-standard base-pairing at the 3rd anti-codon position. The record is from RNAcentral. Lineage: Bacteria; Pseudomonadati; Planctomycetota; Planctomycetia; Planctomycetales; Planctomycetaceae.
UGCGAGAGUGGCGGAAUUGGCAGACGCGCUGGAUUUAGGAUCCAGUGGGGUAACCCGUGCAGGUUCGAGUCCUGUCUCUCGCAU